AAAGGGCGGGAGCAAUCUGCUCACUUGAGAGAAGGGCCCUGGGGGCGCAAUAAUCUAGUUGGGUGGGGGUAACGGCCCCCCCAAAGGGGACGAUGCGUAGCCGACCUAGAGGAGGGGUGAACGCCCCCACUGGGGAUUGAGACACGGCCCAGAUUCUUAGGGGAGGCACCAGUAGGGAAUCUUCCCGCAAUGGGGGAAAUCCUGACGGAGCAACGCCGCGUGAGUGAUGAAGGUUUUCGGUUUCGUAAAGUUCUGUUGCCAAGGAAGAACGUCUUCUAGAGUAAUUGCUAGGAGAGUGACGGUACUUGAGAAGAAAGCCCCGGCUAAUUACGUGCCAGCAGCCGCGGUAAUACGUAGGGGGCAAGCGUUGUCCGGAAUUAUUGGGCGUAAAGCGCGCGCAGGCGGUUCUUUAAUUUUGGUGUUUAAACCCGAGGCUCAACUUCGGGUCGCACUGGAAACUGGGGGACUUGAGUGCAGAAGAGGAGAGUGGAAUUCCACGUGUAGCGGUGAAAUGCGUAGAUAUGUGGAGGAACACCAGUGGCGAAGGCGACUUCUYUGGGCUGUAACUGACGCUGAGGCGCGAAAGCGUGGGGAGCAAACMGUSAUUAGAUACCCUGGUAGUCCACGCCGUAAACGAUGARUGYUAGGUGUUAGGGGUUUCGAUACCCUUGGUGCCGCAASUUAACACAAUWAAGCAUUCCGCCUGGGGAGUACGGUCGCAAGACUGAAACUCAAAGGAAUUGACGGGGACCCGCACAAGCAGUGGAGUAUGUGGUUUAAUUCGAAGCAACGCGAAGAACCUUACCAAGUCUUGACAUCCCUCUGAAUCCUCAAAAAAUAGAGGCGGCCUUCGGGACAGAGGUGACAGGUGGUGCAUGGUUGUCGUCUGCUCGUGUCGUGAGAUGUUGGGUUAAGUCCCGCAACGAGCGCAACCCUUGAUAUUAUUUGCCACCACUUUUAGGGGGGGGCACUCUAAAAAUGACUGCCGGUGACAAAACCGGAGGAAAGGGGGGGAUGAACUUCAAAUCAUCCUUGCCCCCCUUAUGACUUGGGCUUACACCCGUGUUACAAGGGGUGGGUACAAACGGGAAACCAAAACCCGCGAGGGGGAAACCCAAUCCCUAUAAAAAACCCUAUCCCCAGUUUGGAUUUGGCGGGGUGUGCAACUCCCCCCUAUGCACAAAGGUGGGAAAUUUGCUAUUAAUACCCGGGAACUUACCUUGGCCCGCCGGAGAAAAUUAUUU
RNAcentral lists this ribosomal RNA (1244 nucleotides) under Paenibacillus sp. BDR2. Its description in RNAcentral is "partial 16S ribosomal RNA". It matches the Rfam family "Bacterial small subunit ribosomal RNA", at positions 202 to 1333 of the family's 1533-position model. The record is from RNAcentral. Lineage: Bacteria; Bacillati; Bacillota; Bacilli; Caryophanales; Paenibacillaceae.